UACGUAGGGUGCGAGCGUUGUCCGGAAUUAUUGGGCGUAAAGAGCUCGUAGGCGGUGUGUCACGUCGGCCGUGAAAACCUGCAGCUUAACUGUGGGCGUGCGGUCGAUACGGGCAUCACUGGAGUUCGGCAGGGGAGAGUGGAAUUCCUGGUGUAGCGGUGAAAUGCGCAGAUAUCAGGAGGAACACCGGUGGCGAAGGCGCUCAUCUGGCCCAAUACUGACGCUGAGGCGCGAAAGCUAGGGGAGCAAACGGG
Molecule: ribosomal RNA, 254 nt
Filed under: uncultured bacterium
Lineage: Bacteria
Description: partial 16S ribosomal RNA
Rfam family: Bacterial small subunit ribosomal RNA
Source: RNAcentral